UAGGGAAUAUUGCACCAUGGGCGAAAGCCUGAUGCAGCAACGCCGCGUGAGUGAUGAAGGCCCUCGGGUCGUAAAACUCUUUUCAAGAGGAAGAGGAAGGACGGUACUCUUGGAAUAAGCCUCGGCUAACUACGUGCCAGCAGCCGCGGUAACACGUAGGAGGCGAGCGUUAUUCGGAUUUACUGGGCGUAAAGCGCGUGUAGGCGGCUUAUUAAGUUGGAUGUGAAAGCUCCUGGCUUAACUGGGAGAGGACGUUCAAAACUAGUAAGCUUGAGUACGAGAGAGGAAAAUGGAAUUCCGGGUGUAGUGGUGAAAUGCGUAGAUAUCCGGAGUAACACCAGUGGCGAAGGCGAUUUUCUGGCUCGAGACUGACGCUCAGACGCGAAAGCUAGGG
This 394-nucleotide ribosomal RNA is filed under the name uncultured bacterium. Its description in RNAcentral is "bacterial SSU rRNA". It matches the Rfam family "Bacterial small subunit ribosomal RNA", at positions 355 to 765 of the family's 1533-position model. The record is from RNAcentral.